UCCCUGGCGGUCCAGUGGUUAGGACUUGGCGCUUUCACUGCCAUGACCUGAGUUCCACCCCUGGUCGGGGAA
RNAcentral lists this transfer RNA (72 nucleotides) under Bos taurus (domestic cattle). It matches the Rfam family "tRNA". Rfam says of the family: Transfer RNA (tRNA) molecules are approximately 80 nucleotides in length. The record is from Rfam by way of RNAcentral. Lineage: Eukaryota; Metazoa; Chordata; Mammalia; Artiodactyla; Bovidae. RNAcentral also lists the same sequence under 5 other names.